This 328-nucleotide ribosomal RNA is filed under the name uncultured eukaryote. RNAcentral's name for it is "partial 18S ribosomal RNA". It matches the Rfam family "Eukaryotic small subunit ribosomal RNA", at positions 1470 to 1796 of the family's 1831-position model. The record is from RNAcentral.
CCCUUAGAUGUUCUGGGCCGCACGCGCUCUACAAUGAUGAAUUCAACGAGUUUAUAACCUUGGUUGAAAAGCCUGGGUAAUCUUUUGAACUUUCGUCGUGAUGGGGCUAGACCCUUGCAAUUAUUGGUCUCCAACGAGGAAUUCCUAGUAAACGCAAGUCAUCAGCUUGCAUUGAUUACGUCCCUGCCCUUUGUACACACCGCCCGUCGCUCCUACCGAUUGGGUGUGCUGGUGAAAUGUUCGGAUCGGCCGUUUGUCGCGGUUUCCGCGGCUCGUGGCUGAGAAGUUCAUUAAACCCUCCCACCUAGAGGAAGGAGAAGUCGUAACA